This 39-nucleotide non-coding RNA is filed under the name Escherichia coli. Its description in RNAcentral is "JUMPstart". It matches the Rfam family "JUMPstart RNA". The record is from RNAcentral. Lineage: Bacteria; Pseudomonadati; Pseudomonadota; Gammaproteobacteria; Enterobacterales; Enterobacteriaceae.
CAGUGUGUUGGUAGCUAAAAAGCCAGGGGCGGUAGCGUG